RNAcentral lists this long non-coding RNA (218 nucleotides) under Malus domestica (apple). RNAcentral describes it as "long non-coding RNA (MDOM_LNC014812)". The record is from RNAcentral. Lineage: Eukaryota; Viridiplantae; Streptophyta; Magnoliopsida; Rosales; Rosaceae.
UAAGGUAUUGAUUUGUGGAUGUUUCGUUGAUCCAAAGGCCGUCGAGGCUUGAUCUUGGAUGAACUGUUGGAAGUUUCUUCAAGGGGCCGUGGGCUUGAUCUUUGAAGGUGGAUUUGAGCGGAUCUUCAAGGAGCCGUUGGGGCUUGAUCUUGAGGAUGAGUGUUUCUUCAAGGGCCAUUAAGGCUUGAUCUUGAAUAACAGUGAUGAACGGAUCUUCA